GGGAGCCAUUCCUUUACUCGGAUCGUCCGGCACGUUCCUGCCGGUGAAGGGACCACAUC
Molecule: non-coding RNA, 59 nt
Organism: Streptomyces niveus NCIMB 11891
Lineage: Bacteria; Bacillati; Actinomycetota; Actinomycetes; Kitasatosporales; Streptomycetaceae
Source: Rfam